UACGUAGGGUGCGAGCGUUGUCCGGAAUUAUUGGGCGUAAAGAGCUCGUAGGCGGUCUGUCGCGUCGGUCGUGAAAACUUGGGGCUUAACCCUGAGCUUGCGGUCGAUACGGGCAUGACUGGAGUUCGGCAGGGGAGACUGGAAUUCCUGGUGUAGCGGUGAAAUGCGCAGAUAUCAGGAGGAACACCGGUGGCGAAGGCGGGUCUCUGGGCCGAUACUGACGCUGAGACGCGAAAGCGUGGGGAGCGAACAGG
This 254-nucleotide ribosomal RNA is filed under the name uncultured bacterium. Its description in RNAcentral is "partial 16S ribosomal RNA". It matches the Rfam family "Bacterial small subunit ribosomal RNA", at positions 524 to 776 of the family's 1533-position model. The record is from RNAcentral.